GGGUCGGUUGAAAACAAAACUUUACGACAAAAGAGAUGAUUUCAGCUUUCCAAUUGUGAACUUUCCAUUUCUAAGUAGCAACAUUCCAGCAGCACCUGCAUACGGGGUAUAUAUAUCUCCCAAUUGAUACGAUAUUCCCGUGCUUGCAUUUCCUAUCAUGAUUUUCUUGAUAGAGGGUUACUGCUCACAAGAAAGCUAUUAAACCAAG
Molecule: long non-coding RNA, 208 nt
Filed under: Mytilus galloprovincialis (Mediterranean mussel)
Lineage: Eukaryota; Metazoa; Mollusca; Bivalvia; Mytilida; Mytilidae
Source: RNAcentral